AAGAAUCAAUGAAUCUUUCAACACAUUCAUGUUUUGAACAACUUUCACCUCUCUGGGCAAGAAUAUCCUGAAAGGUGAAAUCAUUUUAGUGUGAAUCCUAUGUCUGGUUUGAUUCUUAACAUGUAUAUGUUUAGUUAUUUAUGCCUUUAGUUAUUUUUAUUCAUCUUUUGAUGUGUGUUGAUUUUUGUACUUCCAUCACUACAGGCAGGCUGGUACCCGUUUCAUCUUAGCUGUGGGUAUAGCAACAGCUUCCCCAUUCUCCACCCCAGGGCACCUACCCCUCAGAAAUAGCAACAGAGAUUUCAACCCCUCUUCAUCUUGAAACAUGAAGUCAAACUUGAACUUCACAGAUGUAUUUCUCAAGUAUGUGGAAGUUAGAAUUACCCCAGAUGAAAUUACUUGAGACCCCGCCCCUUGGACUUGAAGGAUCUCUUCGAGGGGAUGCUUAGACUUCUGCUCAUUAUUUACAACCUUGGAAAUUGUUGGUCUCAGCUAGCGUGCCAAGGGACAACAGAGCCAGAGCCUCGGAUCCUUACAGGUGUGAACCCAAACUAUCGAACAGUCUGCAAAAUUAACGUUCAUGACGACUCUUUCUGAUGAGCUGCAUGGGCCGUGGGAUGUGGUAGGAGAGGAAGAAUGUUUUGCAGAAGUGACAGCAUCACCACACAUCUGGGACAAAGGGAGAGAGGAUGCUCACUGCUAAAGAGAACUUUUUCUUCUCUGCACAGAACCAAGUAAGUAAAUCAACUCGUUCAGGCGAUUGGGGCCAUGGAGCUAAAGGGAACAGUGAGGUCAUUUGUAUGGAAUGUGGUCACUUCAGUCGUUCUGGGAAAACUCUACUAUUUAAAAAUGUGCCACAAGUGCUCAAAUCUGGGGACAGAUACAGCUUCAGAUACUGCCUGCAUAUCGGUUAGGGUGACUAUAGCUCUUGACAGCUAUUACCCAAAUGUCAAUGGCCUAAUAUAAUAGGUUUAUAUUUCACCUAUGGGACAGUCGACUUGGGGUGUUUCUCGUUGGCAGAUAAAGUUACUCCAAAGGAUAGUUUAGGGGGAUUUUUCAUCAUUAAUCUCCACCAUUAGUUAAGACGUCCAUCUUCUGCACCCAGAAGGACACUGGGGGUGAUAACACACACUGAAAAGAAACCUGGUUUGGGUGUGAUAUGCAACAUUUCCAUGAACAUUGCUUUGGGAAGAGUGGGAAUGUAAGCACAAGGGAGAUCAGAUGAAAAAUGCAAUCCCUGGCCUGAUGGCUGUCUCCUAGUGGCAGGUCCAUGCAAUAGCAAGAAUUGGAAGACAGCUAGUUGCCACUACUGCAUCCUGCUCCUGGAGAAUCCAAGUCUGUGUCCAUCCUAUCUCCUACAGUUUAGAGCACUCCCAUCCAGCUCCAGGUCACACAUCCAUCUCUAAAUCCUGGAGUCUGAGCCACCGAGUCUGGGUAGGGUUCGCCAUGUCUCCAUGCCCAGAGAACCAGAAGCCUUGGGCCUAAUCUCUCUUCCAUCAACCCAGUGAAUGUCAUGGAGUAGAGGCUGGGUGCCUUUAAUAUCCCUGAGUCUGUUCUGUGAGAGAAAUCCUCUUGUGUACCUCGCCCCUGCUCCCAGACUCUGCAAUCUGGAAGAUCCCCCAACCCUCACCUUUCAGUGGCACAUCUAUGGGGCAGUGUCCCAAUCUUGAUUGCCUCUUUAUGGUGUAAAUGACAAGUGUUGACAGUAGUUUAAAAUUCCUACAUUAUUUAAAGGCUAGGAUUAUAGAUUCUUUGGUAUGGUAGUACGACUUUGUCAGAAUCUCAGCAAACUUCUCAUCUACUUGGAUUGUGCGGAGAAGAUGUUCAUGAAGUCGCCCAG
This 1840-nucleotide long non-coding RNA is filed under the name Mus musculus (house mouse). Its description in RNAcentral is "long non-coding RNA chr12:5452118-5453958". The record is from RNAcentral. Lineage: Eukaryota; Metazoa; Chordata; Mammalia; Rodentia; Muridae.